RNAcentral lists this transfer RNA (81 nucleotides) under Saccharomyces cerevisiae YJM969. RNAcentral's name for it is "tRNA-Leu". Lineage: Eukaryota; Fungi; Ascomycota; Saccharomycetes; Saccharomycetales; Saccharomycetaceae. The record is from RNAcentral.
UGUUGUAUCUCAAAAUGAGAUACGUCAGUAUGACAAUCUCAGGUAUCGUAAGAUGCAAGAGUUCGAAUCUCUUAGCAACCA